UUGGAAUCUAGCUGUUAGUGGGUUUAGGA
Molecule: non-coding RNA, 29 nt
Filed under: Mus musculus (house mouse)
Lineage: Eukaryota; Metazoa; Chordata; Mammalia; Rodentia; Muridae
Source: RNAcentral